Molecule: ribosomal RNA, 1484 nt
Filed under: Salmonella enterica subsp. enterica
Lineage: Bacteria; Pseudomonadati; Pseudomonadota; Gammaproteobacteria; Enterobacterales; Enterobacteriaceae
Also listed under: 1 other name
Description: bacterial SSU rRNA
Rfam family: Bacterial small subunit ribosomal RNA
Source: RNAcentral
GUAACAGGAAGCAGCUUGCUGCUUCGCUGACGAGUGGCGGACGGGUGAGUAAUGUCUGGGAAACUGCCUGAUGGAGGGGGAUAACUACUGGAAACGGUGGCUAAUACCGCAUAACGUCGCAAGACCAAAGAGGGGGACCUUCGGGCCUCUUGCCAUCAGAUGUGCCCAGAUGGGAUUAGCUUGUUGGUGAGGUAACGGCUCACCAAGGCGACGAUCCCUAGCUGGUCUGAGAGGAUGACCAGCCACACUGGAACUGAGACACGGUCCAGACUCCUACGGGAGGCAGCAGUGGGGAAUAUUGCACAAUGGGCGCAAGCCUGAUGCAGCCAUGCCGCGUGUAUGAAGAAGGCCUUCGGGUUGUAAAGUACUUUCAGCGGGGAGGAAGGUGUUGUGGUUAAUAACCGCAGCAAUUGACGUUACCCGCAGAAGAAGCACCGGCUAACUCCGUGCCAGCAGCCGCGGUAAUACGGAGGGUGCAAGCGUUAAUCGGAAUUACUGGGCGUAAAGCGCACGCAGGCGGUCUGUCAAGUCGGAUGUGAAAUCCCCGGGCUCAACCUGGGAACUGCAUUCGAAACUGGCAGGCUUGAGUCUUGUAGAGGGGGGUAGAAUUCCAGGUGUAGCGGUGAAAUGCGUAGAGAUCUGGAGGAAUACCGGUGGCGAAGGCGGCCCCCUGGACAAAGACUGACGCUCAGGUGCGAAAGCGUGGGGAGCAAACAGGAUUAGAUACCCUGGUAGUCCACGCCGUAAACGAUGUCUACUUGGAGGUUGUGCCCUUGAGGCGUGGCUUCCGGAGCUAACGCGUUAAGUAGACCGCCUGGGGAGUACGGCCGCAAGGUUAAAACUCAAAUGAAUUGACGGGGGCCCGCACAAGCGGUGGAGCAUGUGGUUUAAUUCGAUGCAACGCGAAGAACCUUACCUGGUCUUGACAUCCACAGAAGAAUCCAGAGAUGGAUUUGUGCCUUCGGGAACUGUGAGACAGGUGCUGCAUGGCUGUCGUCAGCUCGUGUUGUGAAAUGUUGGGUUAAGUCCCGCAACGAGCGCAACCCUUAUCCUUUGUUGCCAGCGGUUAGGCCGGGAACUCAAAGGAGACUGCCAGUGAUAAACUGGAGGAAGGUGGGGAUGACGUCAAGUCAUCAUGGCCCUUACGACCAGGGCUACACACGUGCUACAAUGGCGCAUACAAAGAGAAGCGACCUCGCGAGAGCAAGCGGACCUCAUAAAGUGCGUCGUAGUCCGGAUUGGAGUCUGCAACUCGACUCCAUGAAGUCGGAAUCGCUAGUAAUCGUGGAUCAGAAUGCCACGGUGAAUACGUUCCCGGGCCUUGUACACACCGCCCGUCACACCAUGGGAGUGGGUUGCAAAAGAAGUAGGUAGCUUAACCUUCGGGAGGGCGCUUACCACUUUGUGAUUCAUGACUGGGGUGAAGUCGUAACAAGGUAACCGUAGGGGAACCUGCGGUUGGAUCACCUCCUUACCUUAAAGAA